GACGAACGCUGGCGGCGUGCCUAAUACAUGCAAGUAGAACGCUGAAGGAGGAGCUUGCUUCUCUGGAUGAAUUGCGAACGGGUGAGUAACGCGUAGGUAACCUGCCUGGUAGCGGGGGAUAACUAUUGGAAACGAUAGCUAAUACCGCAUAAGAGUAGAUGUUGCAUGACAUUUACUUAAAAGGUGCAAUUGCAUCACUACCAGAUGGACCUGCGUUGUAUUAGCUAGUUGGUGGGGUAACGGCUCACCAAGGCGACGAUACAUAGCCGACCUGAGAGGGUGAUCGGCCACACUGGGACUGAGACACGGCCCAGACUCCUACGGGAGGCAGCAGUAGGGAAUCUUCGGCAAUGGACGGAAGUCUGACCGAGCAACGCCGCGUGAGUGAAGAAGGUUUUCGGAUCGUAAAGCUCUGUUGUAAGAGAAGAACGAGUGUGAGAGUGGAAAGUUCACACUGUGACGGUAUCUUACCAGAAAGGGACGGCUAACUACGUGC
Molecule: ribosomal RNA, 496 nt
Filed under: uncultured Streptococcus sp.
Lineage: Bacteria; Bacillati; Bacillota; Bacilli; Lactobacillales; Streptococcaceae
Description: bacterial SSU rRNA
Rfam family: Bacterial small subunit ribosomal RNA
Source: RNAcentral